Molecule: long non-coding RNA, 1334 nt
Organism: Cynara cardunculus var. scolymus (artichoke)
Lineage: Eukaryota; Viridiplantae; Streptophyta; Magnoliopsida; Asterales; Asteraceae
Exons: 7
Source: RefSeq, a predicted model, not a curated record
CUCAAAAUCUCUCCUAUCCCUAAACCAUCGCCAAUCUCCCUAAAUCCGUAUAACAGACUUUGAUGAAAUCCCUAACCCAAAUUCGAUUUAUCAAAUCUCUCCUAUCCCUAAACCAUCGCCAACAGAUUGUGAUGAAAUCGCUAACCCAAAUUCCCCCAAAAUCGAUCUCAUCUCAAAACUCUCUCCUAUCCCUAAACCCAAAUCGAUUUCAUCGCCAACAGACUUUGAUGAAAACCCAAACCCAAAUUCGAUUUCAUCGGUUCCAACAGAGAUGCAUAUAUAUUUCAUCCAUAUUUUCAAUCUAUUAGCGUAUGUCAUCCUCAACAAACUUCAAACAGAGGAGGUAAUCUAUUUUUCUCAUAUUUUUGCAGGGUUCCGAUUCAUUGAAGAUAAGACACACAGCAGUUUCUCAUAAAAGGUGAAUCCCUUUGGUAACCUUAAUCCUGAAUGUGGGGUUCUUCAUCACCUAAUAGCAGAGACAAAAGAAAAUCCCCUCAUCCUCAAUUCAACCCCAUUACUAAUGGUAAAAGAGAAGAAAGAAAUGAUGAAAAGAAACAGAGAAUUGAAGCCAAUUGAAGGGGGAAUCAAAUGGAAAAACAAGCAAAAGAGAAUUCUAUUGAUAGUGGAGGAGGAGGUCCUACUAAAGACAACAACUACAUUCAUAUGAGAGCCAAAAGAGGUCAGACUACAAACAGUCACAGCCUUGCAGAAAUGGUUCGGAGAGAAAGGAUCAGCGAGAGAAUGAAACUGCUUCAAUAACUUGUUCCUGGCUGCAAUAAGGAAGUACGAAAAAAUUAGUUCUCCAUGUGUUGAGGACUUCUGUUUCAUCACAGACAGCACCUACACUAGACAAGAGGUACCGGACAUGUAGUGUCAAGUUCUGGACAUAUUGAGCUUUCAUCUUUUUGUUCCAAAUAGAGAGGAACAUUGGAAUUGAAAUACCAGAAACUGUACGAGCCAUUGUAUUCAAAGGUAUAUGAGUUUUCUUAUGUCUGGUCAUUGUCGGAUUGACAUAUGGUCAUUGUCCUGUUACUGUGUUUACAUUGCAUGUUGCAUUUGUAGGCUGUUCUUUUUUAAAAUUAAUGGGAUGGGGAGGGAUAUAGGUCAGCAAAAUCAUUUAUUCGUGGGAUCUUUAGUUUGUUUGACUAUGCGGGCUACUUGCUUGCCUAAUGAAAUUUUCAGAAAAUUUACCUUUUUAGCAUCCCAUUUCUCAUGAUGUCACUUCCAAGUGCCACAUCUUACAAUGGGAGGGGAAGAAGAUUGGUGAACUAUGAGAAUGAAUAAGAGAACCGAAGAAGUAAUAGGCAGUUUUGAAAAGUACAAACAGAUCUAAG